CUUCAGUACGUCAAACUGGCUGGAGUGGUUGCUACCUUUGAUAUUCCUCUGCUGCUGCUAGUGCUUCCUUCCCCCACAUCCUGACACUCAAGCUCUGAGAGGCAUGAGGACAGAACUUGCUAUUGGAGGACAGAAUCUUAAUGAAAAACAGAAGGUUGCCCAAAGCCUGUAUGACAACUUUUCCUUUUUCUCUUCCUAUCAAUAAAAAAAAAAAAAAAUAGGAACAACAAGCAUUCUUCUAUGUAAAUGAAUCAAAAAAGGAAAGAACACAAAAAGCAAUUCAGACAUCAAAGACACAAAGCUUCAGUGAGGAUGUUGCACUGGUCACAGAUAAAAUGUAUGAACACAACUGAUAAUUUCACUGGAAAUUGCAGCUAUCCACAUUUCUUCAAAAUGUGACCUUCCUUUUACCCCAGUUCUCUGCAAUUGUUUGGAAAAUCAAUGGCAAGUUUACAAUAACCAGCAUGAAGCUUUACACACUGUGGAGAAGAAAACAUUUUGAUAAGCAAAUGGAUUUCAAUGUCAGCCUUCUAAGCAGUUGCUACAGACAAAUGAUUUGAAAGAUUAUUGAAAAUAUACUGUCUUUUUAGAAAGUUACUUUUCUUCCCAUGCAAGGCACAGGAAAUCGAAUCAGCUGCAGUACUGAAUCAACUGUACUGUCAUUGAAAUGUGUGAUCCUGUAGUAAAAUAAAAUCAGUGUCCAACUGUUCA
RNAcentral lists this long non-coding RNA (711 nucleotides) under Junco hyemalis (dark-eyed junco). RNAcentral describes it as "lncRNA (ENSJHYG00000008847.1)". The record is from RNAcentral. Lineage: Eukaryota; Metazoa; Chordata; Aves; Passeriformes; Passerellidae.